CCGCGGUUAUACGAGAGGCCCAAGUUGACAGGCACCGGCGUAAAGAGUGGUUAGGAAAAUAUUUUACUAAAGCCGAACACCCUCAGAACUGUCAUACGUUUCCGAAGGUAUGAAGCCCUUCCACGAAAGUGGCUUUACCCCCUCCGACUCCACGAAAGCUGCGG
This 164-nucleotide ribosomal RNA is filed under the name Chalceus erythrurus (Tucan fish). Its description in RNAcentral is "partial small subunit ribosomal RNA". The record is from RNAcentral. Lineage: Eukaryota; Metazoa; Chordata; Actinopteri; Characiformes; Chalceidae.